Molecule: ribosomal RNA, 700 nt
Filed under: uncultured fungus
Lineage: Eukaryota; Fungi
Description: eukaryotic LSU rRNA
Rfam family: Eukaryotic large subunit ribosomal RNA
Source: RNAcentral
CGGCGAGUGAAGCGGCAAGAGCUCAAAUUUGAAAGCUGGCCCCUUCGGGGUCCGCAUUGUAAUUUGCAGAGGAUGCUUCGGGUGCAGCCCCCGUCUAAGUGCCCUGGAACGGGCCGUCGGAGAGGGUGAGAAUCCCGUCUGGGACGGGGUGCCUGCGUCCGUGUGAAGCUCCUUCGACGAGUCGAGUUGUUUGGGAAUGCAGCUCUAAAUGGGUGGUAAAUUUCAUCUAAAGCUAAAUACUGGCCGGAGACCGAUAGCGCACAAGUAGAGUGAUCGAAAGAUGAAAAGCACUUUGAAAAGAGAGUUAAACAGCACGUGAAAUUGUUGAAAGGGAAGCGUUUGCGACCAGACUCGGCGGCGGGGUUCAGCCGGGAUUCGUCCCGGUGUACUUCCCCGCCGACGGGCCAGCGUCGGUUCGGGCGGCCGGUCAAAGGCCCUGGGAAGGUAACGCCCUUCGGGGCGUCUUAUAGCCCAGGGUGCAAUGCGGCCUGCCCGGACCGAGGAACGCGCUUCGGCUCGGACGCUGGCAUAAUGGUCGUAAACGACCCGUCUUGAAACACGGACCAAGGAGUCUAACAUCUACGCGAGUGUUCGGGUGUCAAACCCGUGCGCGCAGUGAAAGCGAACGGAGGUGGGAACCCCUCGGGGUGCACCAUCGACCGAUCCUGAUGUCUUCGGAUGGAUUUGAGUAGGAGCGUAG